Molecule: ribosomal RNA, 506 nt
Filed under: uncultured bacterium
Lineage: Bacteria
Description: bacterial SSU rRNA
Rfam family: Bacterial small subunit ribosomal RNA
Source: RNAcentral
UCCUGGCUCAGGAUGAACGCUGGCGGCGUGCCUAAUACAUGCAAGUCGAACGAGGUAGCAAUACCGAGUGGCGAACGGGUGAGUAACACGUAGGUAACCUGCCCUUAAGCUUGGGAUACCCAGAGGAAACUUUGGCUAAUACCGGAUAACAACAGAGAAGGCAUCUUCUUUGCUUGAAAGGCCCCUUCAAGGGUCACUUAAGGAUGGACCUGCGGCGCAUUAGCUAGUUGGUGAGAUAACAGCCCACCAAGGCGAGGAUGCGUAGCCGAACUGAGAGGUUGAUCGGCCACAUUGGAACUGAGACACGGUCCAAACUCCUACGGGAGGCAGCAGUAAGGAGUUUUCGGCAAUGGGGGAAACCCUGACCGAGCAACGCCGCGUGAGCGAUGACGGUCCUUUGGAAUUGUAAAGCUCUGUUGUAAGCCAUGAAUGACAGCUUGAGGAAAUGCAAGUUGUUUGACGACAGCUUACCAGAAAGCCACGGCUAACUACGUGCCAGCAGCCGC